RNAcentral lists this ribosomal RNA (2494 nucleotides) under Sacothrips sp. TH26. Its description in RNAcentral is "eukaryotic LSU rRNA". It matches the Rfam family "Eukaryotic large subunit ribosomal RNA", at positions 44 to 1853 of the family's 3401-position model. Lineage: Eukaryota; Metazoa; Arthropoda; Insecta; Thysanoptera; Phlaeothripidae. The record is from RNAcentral.
UAAUAAGGGGAGGAAAAGAAACUAACAAGGAUUCCGUCAGUAGCGGCGAGCGAACACGGAAGAGCCCAGCGCUGAAUCCCCGGGUCCGUGGGGGCCCGCGGGAAAUGUAGCGUUAGGGAGCGUCCGUUAACCCGGGCGCGCGCGGCGAGCACAAGUCUCCCUUGAACGGUGCCAUAAUCCACAGAGGGUGCCAGGCCCGUACUGCCGCCGCCGCGUCCGAGUGGGCGUCUCCUGGGAGUCGGUCUGUUUGAGAACGCAGACCUAAGUGGGUGGUAAACUCCAUCUAAGGCUAAAUACGACCACGAGACCGAUAGCGCACAAGUACCGUGAGGGAAAGGUGAAAAGAACUUUGAAGAGAGAGUUCAAGAGUACGUGAAACUGGAGAGGUGAAAACGGAUGUGGCUCGAAAUUCCGAACGCGUGGUGUUCAGUCUCACCGCGGCCGGACCUCCCGUCCGCUGAGAUCAAGGGGCCUCGCCGGCGUGCGGCCGUUCCUCCGGGGCGGUCGUCGCGUCGCCCGGUCCCCUCUCGGGCGGGGAAAAACUGAACGGUCCCGGUCCGGUGUGGAUGCACUCACCACCGUAGUAGGAUGUCGCGACUCGUUGGGUGUCGGUCGCGAGGCUGGGCGGGGCAGCCCGGUGUCCGCGUGUCUCGCGCCUCUGAGGUGAAAUGCGAGCGGUGCGGCCCGGACCCGUUUUCCCGUGUCCUCUCCGACUGCCCGACGGUAUCGAAGGCGAGACGGCGCUUCUCGCGCCCGCUUAAACACUGCCCCUUGCUUGUUUCGGGGUAGGCGGGUUAGCGCGCCGUCUGUUUGCGGCAUUGCCUGAUUUGGGUCCACAUCCGACCCGUCUUGAAACACGGACCAAGGAGCGUAACACAUGCGCGAGUCGAAGGGUGCUGCUAAACCCGGAGGCGAAGCGAAAGCGUAAGGGACGAUGGCCCGAGGGGAAUAUGUGAAUAUUUUCUCUCUCUAAAGGUCGUGCUCUCCCGGCUCCAAGCCGGAACCGGCCGGCCCGCAGUCCCGGGGCACCUCAUACGGCUCUGGCAGGGGUUUUGUGGUGGGUUCCCCUCGCGGUCUCGGCCGCGGGAAUUCCCCCCCGCCCCAGUCUGAGUCGAGGCGCACCUGAGAGCGUAUGUGUUGUUACCCGAAAGAUGGUGAACUAUGCCUGGCCAGGACGAAGCCAGGGGAAACCCUGGUGGAAGUCCGUAGCGAUUCUGACGUGCAAAUCGAUCGUCGGAGCUGGGUAUAGGGGCGAAAGACUAAUCGAACCAUCUAGUAGCUGGUUCCCUCCGAAGUUUCCCUCAGGAUAGCUGGCGCUCGGAGGAACGAGAAGUGGAUGACGAGUCUCAUCCGGUAAAGCGAAUGAUUAGAGGCAUUGGGGCCGAAACGACCUCAACCUAUUCUCAAACUUUAAAUGGGUGAGAACCCCGGCUUGCUUGAUGCCGGUGCGCCCCCGUGCGUCGCAGCGCGCCCUAGCCCUCGCGGGCGGCGUGGCGGGCGCCUGGGGUCCCGGGACGAACCCGGAGGUUGGGGGGAUUCUUCUCCCCUCCUCCGGUCUUGAAGCCGGGGCGUGUGAUCACGGAUCACGAGUGCCAAGUGGGCCAAUUUUGGUAAGCAGAACUGGCGCUGUGGGAUGAACCAAACGCAGAGUUAAAGCGCCUAAGUGGACGCUCAUGGGAGACCAUGAAAGGUGUUGGUUGCUUAAGACAGCAGGACGGUGGCCAUGGAAGUCGGAAUCCGCUAAGGAGUGUGUAACAACUCACCUGCCGAAGCAACUAGCCCUUAAAAUGGAUGGCGCUGAAGCGUCCCGCUUAUACUCUGCCGCGGGCGGCAAAAGCGGCCGGUAAGGCGGACGGCCCCGGUCUGAGACCCGGGAAACCGGCCCCGAGCCUUGAGGCCCCCGUGAGUAGGAGGGUGCGCUCGGGUGCGCGCAGAAGGGUCUGGGCGCGAGCCUGCCUGGAGCCGCCCGAGGUGCAGAUCUUGGUGGUAGUAGCAAAUACUCCAGAGAGGGCCCUGGAGGGCUGAUGCGGAGAAGGGUUCCGUGUGAACAGCUGUUGCACACGGGUCAGUCGAUCCUAAGCCCUAGGAGAAAUCCUACGUGCGAUGUGCGGGUGUCUGUGAGAACUCCCGUCGCCGGGCGAAAGGGAAUCAGGUUCCUAUUCCUGAACCCAGAUGCGGUACCGUUCCACCGGGCUUGUCUCGAAGCCGUCCGUCCCCCUCCGGAACCCCUCCGCGGGUCUGGUCGGCGGUCAACGGGCGCGCCUAGGGCGAACUCGUCGAGGUAACUCGAACAGCCGCGGAGAAGCCGGCCGGAGCCCCCGGGAGAGUUGUCUUUUCUGUAUUACCGUGCAAGUUCCCUGGAAUUCCAUUGCGGAGAGAGAGGGAAUAGCGCGGGAAGAGCACCGCACUUGCGGCGGUGUCGGGGGUGACCGCUCGGACCAUGAAAAUCCGCGUGAGGGCCACGGAGAACAACCGAUCUGGCUCGUACCCAUAU